This 114-nucleotide ribosomal RNA is filed under the name Sporosarcina sp. P35. RNAcentral's name for it is "partial 16S ribosomal RNA". It matches the Rfam family "Bacterial small subunit ribosomal RNA", at positions 1429 to 1533 of the family's 1533-position model. Lineage: Bacteria; Bacillati; Bacillota; Bacilli; Caryophanales; Caryophanaceae. The record is from RNAcentral.
GGUGGGGUAACCCUUACGGGAGCCAGCCGCCGAAGGUGGGACAGAUGAUUGGGGUGAAGUCGUAACAAGGUAGCCGUAUCGGAAGGUGCGGCUGGAUCACCUCCUUUCUAAGGA